GAACGCUGGCGGCGUGCUUAACACAUGCAAGUCGAGCGGAAAGGCCCUUCGGGGUACUCGAGCGGCGAACGGGUGAGUAACACGUGAGCAACCUGCCCUAGGCUUUGGGAUAACCCCGGGAAACCGGGGCUAAUACCGAAUAUGACCUGGCCUCGCAUGGGGUUGGGUGGAAAGUUUUUCGGCCUGGGAUGGGCUCGCGGCCUAUCAGCUUGUUGGUGGGGUGAUGGCCUACCAAGGCGACGACGGGUAGCCGGCCUGAGAGGGCGACCGGCCACACUGGGACUGAGACACGGCCCAGACUCCUACGGGAGGCAGCAGUGGGGAAUAUUGCACAAUGGGCGGAAGCCUGAUGCAGCGACGCCGCGUGAGGGAUGACGGCCUUCGGGUUGUAAACCUCUUUCAGCAGGGACGAAGCGUAAGUGACGGUACCUGCAGAAGAAGCGCCGGCCAACUACGUGCCAGCAGCCGCGGUAAGACGUAGGGCGCGAGCGUUGUCCGGAUUUAUUGGGCGUAAAGAGCUCGUAGGCGGC
Molecule: ribosomal RNA, 530 nt
Filed under: Micromonospora palomenae
Lineage: Bacteria; Bacillati; Actinomycetota; Actinomycetes; Micromonosporales; Micromonosporaceae
Description: bacterial SSU rRNA
Rfam family: Bacterial small subunit ribosomal RNA
Source: RNAcentral